RNAcentral lists this unclassified non-coding RNA (430 nucleotides) under soil metagenome. RNAcentral's name for it is "partial contains 5.8S ribosomal RNA, internal transcribed spacer 2, and large subunit ribosomal RNA". The stretch from base 1 to 120 matches the Rfam family "5.8S ribosomal RNA", at positions 35 to 154 of the family's 154-position model. The record is from RNAcentral.
GAUGAAGAACGUAGCGAAAUGCGAUACGUAAUGUGAAUUGCAGAAUUCAGUGAAUCAUCGAAUCUUUGAACGCAUAUUGCGCUCUCUGGUAUUCCGGAGAGCAUGCUUGUUUGAGUAUCAGUAAACACCUCAACUCCCUUUUCUUUUUUGAAAUUGGAGCUGGACUUGAGUGAUCCCAACGCUUUCUUCCAAGAAAGUGGCGGUUUGCUUGAAAUGCAGGUGCAGCUGAACUUUUCUCUGAGCUAUAAGCAUAUCUAUUUAGUCUGCCUAAAAAACAGAUUAUUACCUUUGCUGCAGCUAACAUAAAGGAGACUAGUUCUUGUGCUGACUGAUGCAGGAUUCACAGAGACAGCUUCGGCUGACUAUGUAAACUCGAUCUCAAAUCAAGUAAGACUACCCGCUGAACUUAAGCAUAUCAAUAAGCGGAGGA